RNAcentral lists this ribosomal RNA (433 nucleotides) under uncultured bacterium. RNAcentral's name for it is "partial 16S ribosomal RNA". It matches the Rfam family "Bacterial small subunit ribosomal RNA", at positions 29 to 507 of the family's 1533-position model. The record is from RNAcentral.
AGCGAACGCUGGCGGCAGGCCUAACACAUGCAAGUCGAACGGAUCCUUCGGGAUUAGUGGCGGCCGGAUGAGUAACACGUGGGAACGUGCCCUUCGGUUCGGAACCACUCAGGGAAACUUGAGCUAAUACCGGAUGUGCCCUUCGGGGGAAAGAUUUAUCGCCAUUGGAGCGGCCCGCGUCUGAUUAGCUAGUUGGUGAGGUAACGGCCCACCAAGGCGACGAUCAGUAGCUGGUCUGAGAGGAUGAUCAGCCACACUGGGACUGAGACACGGCCCAGACUCCUACGGGAGGCAGCAGUGGGGAAUCUUGCGCAAUGGACGAAAGCCUGACGCAGCCAUGCCGCGUGAAUGAUGAAGGUCUUAGGAUUGUAAAAUUCUUUCAGCGGGGACGAUAAUGACGGUACCCGCAGAAGAAGCUCCGGCUAACUUCGUG